AUCACGUUGAAACACUAGUUCCUGUACGAUCACCAAAGUUAAGCAAUGUCGAUCUUCGUCAGUACCUAGAUGGGUGACCGCUUGGGAAUACGGG
Non-coding RNA from Acanthosepion pharaonis, 94 nucleotides. The record is from the annotation of a GenBank genome assembly. NCBI's taxonomy places the organism in Eukaryota, Metazoa, Mollusca, Cephalopoda, Sepiida, Sepiidae.